GAGGAGUGAAUAGAGUGGCGAAACGGGUGAGUAACACGUGGGUAACCUCCCCUCGCAGGGGGAUAACCGGGGGGAAACACGGGCUAAUACCCCGUACGCUUGCUGGGGCGCAUGCUCCGGCAAGGAAAGGUAGCUUCGGCCAUCCGGCGAGGGAGGGGCCCGCGGCCCAUUAGCUAGUUGGUGGGGUAACGGCCCACCAAGGCGACGAUGGGUAGCUGGCCUGAGAGGGUGGUCAGCCACACUGGGACUGAGACACGGCCCAGACUCCUACGGGAGGCAGCAGCCAGGAAUCUUGCGCAAUGGGCGAAAGCCUGACGCAGCAACACCGCGUGGGCGAUGAAGGCCUUCGGGUCGUAAAGCCCUGUUGUCGGGGACGAAGGGCGAAGGGUUAAUAGCCCCUAGCCUGACGGUACCCGACGAGGAAGCCCUGGCUAACUACGUGCCAGCAGCCGCGGUAAUACGUAGGGGGCGAGCGUUGUCCGGAAUCAUUGGGCGUAAAGAGCGUGUAGGCGGCCCGGUAAGUCCGCUGUGAAAACCCGGGGCUCAACCCCGGGCGUGCAGUGGAAACUGCCGGGCUAGAGGGCGGCAGAGGCGAGUGGAAUUCCCGGUGUAGCGGUGAAAUGCGCAGAUAUCGGGAGGAACACCGGUAGCGAAGGCGGCUCGCUGGGCCGUUCCUGACGCUGAGACGCGAAAGCUAGGGGAGCGAACAGGAUUAGAUACCCUGGUAGUCCUAGCCGUAAACGAUGGGCACUAGGUGUGGGGGGAGUCGAAUCCCUCCGUGCCGCAGCCAACGCGUUAAGUGCCCCGCCUGGGGAGUACGGCCGCAAGGCUAAAACUCAAAUGAAUUGACGGGG
Molecule: ribosomal RNA, 854 nt
Filed under: uncultured Actinomycetes bacterium
Lineage: Bacteria; Bacillati; Actinomycetota; Actinomycetes
Description: bacterial SSU rRNA
Rfam family: Bacterial small subunit ribosomal RNA
Source: RNAcentral